UUUAAGCAGUGGUGUAUAUAUUACUCCAUGUCGCCAGAUUAUAUUAUGUGAUCAUAGGGUCAAUUAAACACCCAAUGUAUGGACAAAGAUUUCGUAUUAUCUUUAUGUUUUUGAUCUAUUUUGGCGCUAAAAUAUUCAAAAACUGUGUGAAAAUAUUCAUCAAGCGAUAUUUGGAUGUGGCAUUGAGAAGAAGUCAUCAUAUUCUCAAAAUUUUGAAUUCUGAUUUUAGAAAUGUAACAUACGAUACACUAAUUUUUUUUUUUAUGAAAACGUAUUUGCAGAGCAAAUGUUACCCCUUUUAUGAAAAUCUCGUAGUGUACAGAGAAUGAAAAUAUAAACAUUUCUUUUGCAGAAGUCAUUGGUUGGUCUGAAAUUUGACAAACGUGUCAAGAUGUAACAUUCGUGAUGUAACAUUCGUUACCGAGAAAUUAAUUAAAGGGAAUGAUAGAACAAUUUCCAGCGUAUUUUUGCUCUCUCUCUGCAUGAUGUGGUAUACGACAUGAACGUCUACUAUGAACAUUUGAGUUUGAAAGUCAAUACGUGUUAAACUUUGAGAAUUAGGAUUAAUUUUCUCUUACGAAAUGGCGCUUGUGAGAGUAGAAGUACAGAAUAACUACCAUGAAAAAAAAUGUAUUAAAACAUAAGAACAACCAUGAAAAAAUGUUUUAGAAAUAGUAUGAUAUGCUCCCCUUGUGGCAAUACUGAAAAGGUAGAAUGUCUGUAUAGACAGUGAAAAUAAAGGUUUAACUACCGGUCAAAGGCUACCAUAAUGAUACAUGUAAGUUUUGUCUCUCAAAAUACUUAUAAGCAACUGGUCAUUUGAGUAAUUUUGUAUGACCUUUGACCUUGUGACUUGGAAUUCAAUGGGGGUCAUCUAUUCAUAAGGGGCACCAGUGUUUCAAGUUUGAUGUCUAUCAAGGAAAGAUUUCUCAACGGACAAUAGCGUAUGUCCGAGUAGUUUAACCGUUGUCCUUUUGACCUCAAAAUUAAUAGAGGACAUCGUUAAAUAUUUAUUCAUAACACCGCGUGGUGGAUUAUACUGACAGUUUCUAUGGAAAGGUAUUCCAAAAUAAGCAACAAAAACAUAAGAUUCGGUAUACAUUUAAUUAAAAUGUUGGGAAAUUAAACAUUUUCUUUAUAUUAUUAUUGUAAACAGAUUGUUAGAAAUGGGUACAUAUGAUUCUUUCCAUUUUUUGAAUAGAAAUGAUGUUUAUAGUAAUGAAAGGAAAAAUAAGAAACAUACGUUACUUUCAUUGUUUAUUAUAACAAAGAGCAAUCCAGGUUUCAAAACAUGUGUCUGUUAUUUCUAUAAGAAUCAUGAGCAUUUAAAUAGCGAAACAUCAAUCUAUCACUUUUGUUUUAAUCGCACAUUUAUUGCAAAUUAACAAAUUCAGAAGAAAAGACACAUUUGGUAAAAAAUUUUGCUUGUCUACGUUAUAUUUCUAUUAAAAUUGGUAUUUCCAUUGAAUCAAGUGAUGUCGUUAUGAUUUUGCAACAUCAAUCGUAAAGAAUAACUGAUGGUGGCAUCGUUUUGGCACAAUAUUUUCAUGGAUGUACUGUUGUGUAAGUGUUGAAACAUACGUUACAUAAUUAUAGCGCUACUUCAUUUACAUACAAAAAAGCUAUCGUUCUAUAUCUAUUGCUAGUCUUUUGUUUUCAUGUUUCAUACAUAUUGAACUGUUCGAGAAUAUUUGUUAAUCAAUUUUAUUUUUUGCCAUUUCAAAGAUAUUGAAAGUGAUAUCUAGUCGUUUAUUUUGCGCUCUUAAAAUCUUAUUGCUGACUUUUACAGCAGAUAAUUUCUUGUUGUGUUGAUUAAAUAUUUUC
This is a long non-coding RNA of Ostrea edulis (European flat oyster), 1824 nucleotides long. RefSeq lists it as uncharacterized. NCBI's taxonomy places the organism in Eukaryota, Metazoa, Mollusca, Bivalvia, Ostreida, Ostreidae. The record is from RefSeq and is a predicted model, not a curated record. The transcript has 2 exons.